Molecule: long non-coding RNA, 2147 nt
Organism: Orussus abietinus
Lineage: Eukaryota; Metazoa; Arthropoda; Insecta; Hymenoptera; Orussidae
Exons: 4
Source: RefSeq, a predicted model, not a curated record
UGAAGCCGAGCUUCUGGAAGGACCGGCCUCCCUUGAGUUCCUGAAAAUUAAGCAAAUAACAUGAAUUUCUUGUGCAACAAUUUAUCCAAGUUGGACUAAAAAAUGUCCAUGGUUAUAACGAUUCUUGGAAGGAUUAAGUGGGAUUAGAAAAUCUAAAGUUCUGACGUGGAGGUUUGGGUUUCUGCCAAUUUUAAGGAAGAUCCUAAAGCAUGUCUCACCUUUCUGACGGAUAUCCUCAGGAUGCACGGGUCGAGGACACCCGUCGAUGCGUUGGCACUCAUCUUGCAGAGGAACUCGAACUUGGCGUUCCACCUGACAGUGUGCUCUUGCACUUCUUCCCUGAAACAUACAAGGCAGCUAAGCGCAACGAAAUUGUAAGCCAGACUGGAAGGUCAUCGAUGAUUCAUGUUCCCUGAUACCAAAGUGAUUCGACAAAGCGACGAGAUAUCGAGAAGCCUGGGACAUUUCGAUGUAAUUUCCGUACAAUAGGGAUAUAUAAAUAUAUUUUUAUGCCUCUACGAAAUCAAGGACUGCGGAGGUCGUUGGAUUGCCGAGUUAUUGGGAUGCGGAAAAAAAAUGGAAUGGACUAUUUGUGAAUACUAAAAAAAGCGGCUGGCAGAUAACUGCACGUAGGUGAGUGGAGCCUCUUUUCAGAGAAAAUGAAACAUUCCGGUUAAACGCCCACGACUACCGUCUACGGGAAAAGAGGCUUUCGACGGUGGGCUUUGCAGCGCCCACGCAAUUCGCUGACGAAAACGUGGGCAUUUCCGUAAUCUCCGUCGGGAAGGAAAUACCACGGUAGGCGACGAAUCCGUCUCAGUCUAAAGGAUCUUUUGAAUAAGAUUGUCCCCAUUAAGUUUCUUUCAAGAGUUUGCAAUCACGAGGAGAAUUCACAAGGCGAGUCGUUAGGGAAAAUGGCCGCGAGCGCACGUGACUGGUAACUCUAAUGAGAUUCGCUUUUUCCCUAGAUUUAAAAUAACCAACGGAAGGGUACACAUCUACACGCGUUACGCGCCGUCGAGUUUUGAUUCUGCCAGCGGCGAUUAUCCAGUUUUCUGGAUUAUCGACUUUCAACGGUCGCACGUCCCGCGAACAUCUCAGGACUGUGCAUCAUGACUGACUGAUCGAAUUCAAAGAGUAUAGACAUCAUUUAAUAACUUUUCGCACGUGAAUUCAAUGGCCAGGACAGAUGCUUACACUUGGAUCUCAGGACACAUGCAUCAUGACCGACUGAGGACGGGUGCUCACACUUGGAUCGUCGCUGCAUAAGAAACUGUUUGUCACGGAAAACGUUCAUUAUAUAAUUUGUAAUGAAUGCAUACGUGCCGUAAAUAUGUCAUGUUUAUAGUGCCAUCAACCACUCGAUCAUAAUAGACCGUUUCUUUCUACGUUCUGGUUCGCGAUCCGUGGACUUUGACAAGAUAAACAUACCUGAUAUACUGAGACACGUGCGCGUUAAUCAGGAUUUUCAUGUCCAACAAAAAAAUUCGCCUCGCGUGUGGCUUUUUAUGAAGCAUUCGCAACGGAACAUUGUCCAUUAAAAUUCGAUCCUUGGUUGUCGGAAAUACUCAUACAACUUUGUACGGCUAUCCGGAAUAAUGUCGCUUUGUAUAAGUGCGUGCAUUAAUGCAAGUAUAAUUACGCCUCCACGGCUUGCGUAUAAAAAUGUCAGACCUAAGACGUCGUUUAUUAUGAGGAACAUUAAUUUAAUAAUCUUAGAAUUUCAUCGACGAGCGGGGCGUUUCAAACCCCUCAUGUUCGUGACGUCAUCGUCUAUUUGACCCUGAAAGACUGCCUUUCCUCAUCCGCUUGUAAAAUCCAUUUUAUUACUUUAUACGUCUAGGAUCGCGAGGCAUGAACUUCGACAAGGUAAAUGCAUCCGCAAAGUAAUUAGACCCGGUUAUUUAUGGAACGUAGCGCGCGUUAGUAUAUUUAUGUAUAUUGCAUGUCGAACAAGGCCCACGGUAUCUCCUAUACACUUUAGCUUAUGCAUCGCUUUAAUAAGGAAGCGUCAUAAUUGCGUUACGGCUUGGCUGGAUUGAUUUGGCCAAGUAUGUACAGAUUUCUUUUUACAUGCGCGGUGCGUUAGUCCUGGAUGGUUGAAAAGUGGAAUGGUCGUAUUUCUACAUUUUCAGAAUUGAAGAAAU